GACGACGAGAAGGAGGGUGUCACGACGGAGGCGGCGGGACGGCGGCGAGGGAGAUGGGACGAGGGAGGAGGGGUGUUCGAUCUGGGAGGAGGGAGAUGGGCUAGGGUUCGCUGUGUGGGGGGAGAGAGAGGAGCUGGGUGGGUGAGAGGGUGAGGGAGUGUGGGCCGUUGGAUCUGUACGACUUGGACGACUCAGGUCGUUUUCAAUAAUGUGAUCCAUGGAGUCUG
Molecule: long non-coding RNA, 227 nt
Filed under: Hordeum vulgare
Lineage: Eukaryota; Viridiplantae; Streptophyta; Magnoliopsida; Poales; Poaceae
Description: long non-coding RNA (HVUL_LNC021199)
Source: RNAcentral